UUUUUUUUUUCAUACAGACAUCCAAUUGUUUCAGGAAAAUUUACUGAAAAGACUAUUCUUUCUCCAAUGCCAUGCCUUUGAACCUUUAUUAAAAAAUGAGUUGGCCCUUUCCCUUGGUCUCUUUCCCUUGGUGGUAGUGGUAACAGAUCGUGCAGGCCGGGCCAAGAUUAAGGCUGGAGACCUUCUCAGCAAGAAGGAAGAACUGCUGAAACAGCUGGAAGACCUGAAAGUGGAGCUGUGGCGGUGGCUAAAGAAUUGGAGAAAUUGGGGCAAGUCCUUAUUUCUAGAAUCUUAUAACCGCCUUUACUCUGAAGAUAUGAUGGGCACAACCAGCAAAAGACAGCAAUAAGUCACAGAAUAUGACUCAAGCUCAUGGCUGAAGAGGAUUAUCAGUCUUCCACAGUGAAAAGACCUAUAUUGUAGAAUCACAUACACUUAAAGGUGGUGGAAAGGACUUUGAAGUAAACAGGCGCAGUCGUUCAGCCAUUCAUUGCAGGCUACCUUCAAUAAUCCUCCUGAGUUGUUCACCCAGACUUUGCUUGAGCACUUCCAAUGAGAAAAAGGAUGGGAGGAGCUGAUGGCUCAUGGUAAGGUUAGCCACAUGAAAUCACUUGACCUUCCCCACAAACUGGAUCCUCUUUCAGUAUCCAAUUCUCAAUGAUGGCACCACUCUCUAUCCACUUAGAAAAACAAACAAACAAACAGGGGCGCCUACGUGGCUCAGUAGGUUGAGAGUCCGAUGGGCUCAGGUCAUGUCACGGUUGACAAGUUGGAGACCCGCGUCAGCCUCUGUGCUGAAAGCUCAGAGCCUGGAGCCUGCUUCAGAUUCUGAGCCUCCCUCUCUCUCUGCCCCUCCCUCGCUCAUGCUCUGUCUCUGUGUCA
This 882-nucleotide long non-coding RNA is filed under the name Felis catus (domestic cat). Its description in RNAcentral is "lncRNA (ENSFCAG00000050346.1)". Lineage: Eukaryota; Metazoa; Chordata; Mammalia; Carnivora; Felidae. The record is from RNAcentral.